GCAGGGGUCGCAUAGCCUGGCAAUUGCGGAGGACUUAAGAUCCUCUGGGUUAGUCCCUUCGUGGGUUCGAAUCCCACCCCCUGCA
Molecule: transfer RNA, 85 nt
Filed under: Candidatus Aenigmatarchaeota archaeon
Lineage: Archaea; Nanobdellati; Candidatus Aenigmatarchaeota
Description: tRNA-Leu
Rfam family: tRNA
About the family: Transfer RNA (tRNA) molecules are approximately 80 nucleotides in length.
Source: RNAcentral